Non-coding RNA from Elaeis guineensis (African oil palm), 347 nucleotides. NCBI's taxonomy places the organism in Eukaryota, Viridiplantae, Streptophyta, Magnoliopsida, Arecales, Arecaceae. The record is from RefSeq and is a predicted model, not a curated record.
UGAGGAAAUGUGAAGAUUGCUGUGAAAACAGGGAAGAAGCCCCAGAAGACAGCAAUGAAGAACAGCAAUCCUGCCUGCAGUAUGUGAUACCAGAUUGAACUGUGAUGGAUCCUUCAAGUAUGUUGCCACUGAUUCUUCCGCCGAGGAGGCUAAGGAGAGUGGUUUUCCCACUACCAGAGGGUCCCAUCAGAGCAAGAACCUCUCCAGGGCUUGCUGAACCUGUAAUGCCGUGAAGGAUAUCUUUCUCAGUGCUUGUUGUUACACCUUUGAGGAUAACCUUGUAUCUAACCUCUGUAAACUGCAAGAUUGAUGAAAGAAGUGGCAAUAGAAAAGCCUUUUAGUUGGUA